Molecule: ribosomal RNA, 158 nt
Filed under: Cladosporium nigrellum
Lineage: Eukaryota; Fungi; Ascomycota; Dothideomycetes; Cladosporiales; Cladosporiaceae
Description: 5.8S ribosomal RNA
Rfam family: 5.8S ribosomal RNA (bases 68-158)
About the family: 5.8S ribosomal RNA (5.8S rRNA) is a component of the large subunit of the eukaryotic ribosome.
Source: RNAcentral
CCCCGCCUGCCGGAAUUAGCCAACCCUGCCUGAAAAUUGAAGUCUGAGAACAAGUUAAAUUAAACAAAACUUUCAACAACGGAUCUCUUGGUUCUGGCAACGAUGAAGAACGCAGCGAAAUGCGAUAAGUAAUGUGAAUUGCAGAAUUCAGUGAAUCA